UUCCUUGUGGCUCAGAUGGUAAAGUGUCUGCCUGCAAUGCGGGAGACCCAGGUUCGAUCCCUGGGUUGGGAA
RNAcentral lists this transfer RNA (72 nucleotides) under Bos taurus (domestic cattle). It matches the Rfam family "tRNA". Rfam says of the family: Transfer RNA (tRNA) molecules are approximately 80 nucleotides in length. RNAcentral also lists the same sequence under 2 other names. The record is from Rfam by way of RNAcentral. Lineage: Eukaryota; Metazoa; Chordata; Mammalia; Artiodactyla; Bovidae.